Long non-coding RNA from Herpailurus yagouaroundi (jaguarundi), 1947 nucleotides. RefSeq lists it as uncharacterized. NCBI's taxonomy places the organism in Eukaryota, Metazoa, Chordata, Mammalia, Carnivora, Felidae. The transcript is spliced from 2 exons. The record is from RefSeq and is a predicted model, not a curated record.
UCUCUAUCUAAAUAAAUGUUUUUAAAACAUCAUCAAAUUAUACAUUUAAAAGAGUGAAUUUUAUGAUAUAUAUAUCUCAAUAAAGCUGUUAGAAAAAUUUAAUCAUUUCCAGUAUAGCAUAUAAGAUAUUAAUAACAUGCAUUUAUUUAUUCACAUAUUUAAUCAUAAUUGCAGAUAAUCUCAUUCUUUGAUACAUCUCACAGUAAGUCCAGUGAUAAAUAGACCAAUCAGUGUACUAAGUAUAGGCUUGGGAAUUAUGAGCAGGUACCAUUCAAAAUUCACCUCCAUGAGAGAUUCAGGAGUAUGUGCAACUCUUAAGGGCAUUCAGAAUUGAGGUCCAUGUUUAAUACAGUUAUAGUGAAAAUUCUAAGGCAUCAAAAGACAAUGUCAGCAGAGUAAAAAUGUAGUCCACAAAAUAUUUGCUAAUCAUAAAUCUUGUAAGGGAUUAAUAUCAGGACAUCCAGGGGAGGAGAUAAUGAGGAAAUGUUUAUAAGUUCAGAGUUUCAGUUUUGCAAGAUAAAAAAAUUGAGUUCUUGGGAAUGCAAACUGGUACAGCCACUCUGGGAAACAGUAUGGAGUUUCUUCAAAAACUUAAAAAUAUUAGUACCCUAAGACUCAGUGAUUGUAUUACUAGGUAUUUACCCAAAGGACACAAAAAUAGUAUUUCAGAGGAAUACAUGCACCCAGAUAUUUAUAGCUGCAUUAUUUACAGUAGCCAAAUUUCCAAGCAGCUUAAGUGUCCAUUGACCAAUGAAUGGACAAAGAAAUGGAUAUAUAUAUAUAUAUAUAUAUAUAAUAUAAUGGAAUAUUACUAUGCCAAAAAAACAAAACAAAACAAAAACAACAACAACGGAUUCUUGCUAUUAGCAAAGUCAAGUGACUGAGCUAGAGGGUAUGAGGCAGUGAAAUAAGUCAGGGAGAAAGAGACAAAUAUCAUGUGAUUUCACUCAUACGUGGAGUUUAAGAAAGAAAACCAAUGAGGAAAAUGACAAAAAAGAGAAAGAGGCAAAUCAAAACACAGACACUUAAGUAUUGAUAACAAAUUGAUCGUUACCAAGAAGGAGGUUAGUGCGGAAUGUAGUAAAAAGGUGAUGGGGAUUAAGGAGUGAACUUGUAAUGAUUACUGUGUGCUGUAUGGAAAUGUCGAAUCACUAUAUGAUGUAUAUGAAAUUAUAUUUCACUGUAUGUAAACUAACUGGAAAUUAAAUAAAAAAUAAAAAAAUAAAUAUAUGGUUUUCAGGUCUCACAUUUAGGUCUUUAAUACAGUUUGCUUUUAUUUUUAUAUAUCAUUAAGAAAUGAUCCAAGUUCUUUCUUUUGCAUACACCUGUUUAAUUUUCUAAUGGUGUAAAUAUAUUGACCAUGUAAGUGUGGGUCUCUAUUCAGUUUCAUUGAUCUAUGUAACUAUGCCAAUACCAUGAUGUUUUAUAUUUUUUCUUUGUAGUAUACCUUGAAAUCUGAAAUUAUGAUGCCACCAGCUUUGUUCUGUUUUCUUUUUUUUCUUUUCAAAAUUGCUUUCUAUUUGGAUUUGUUUGUGGUUCCAUUCAAAUACUAGGAUUCUUCAUUCAACUUUUGUGAAAAAUGCUGUUAGCAUUUUGAUAGGGAGUCCAUUGUAUCUCUAUGUUCCUCUGGUAGUAUAUAUAUUUUAUUAAUACUAAUUCUUCCCAUUCAUGAAGAUUGUACAUCUUCCCAUAUGUUUGUGUCAUCUGUCGUUAUUUUGUUUUUGUUUGUUUGUUUGUUUGUUUGUUUAAAUGGUAUUCUGUUCUCUAAAAGGAAAUUUUCAUUGAACACAAUUUUCAGAUUUUCACUUGGGCUUAUCACACCCUCACAGGUUCAGGACACAUGAUAGUGAAUGAUUUUUAGAGUUAAGUUACACUGAAAAAGAAGUAAUACUAGGUAGAUGACAGGAAGGUACUCUCAUGUGAAAAUAAAUAUACAAUUUCAGUCAC